This is a long non-coding RNA of Bombus huntii, 1557 nucleotides long. RefSeq lists it as uncharacterized. Lineage: Eukaryota; Metazoa; Arthropoda; Insecta; Hymenoptera; Apidae. The transcript is spliced from 4 exons. The record is from RefSeq and is a predicted model, not a curated record.
AGUCACGCGCCUCUAUCGGACUGCACGCGAAUCGCUUACGUGAGUCGACGCGUUUUCAAACGUUCAUCUACAGAAUAUAGUUCAUAGACUGCUUUUCGUAAAUAUAAAUAAACGUCGAGAGAGCAAGUCACACUUGCGCGCGUUUCUCCGUAACAGUCGAAUAACAUCGAAGAGGAAACGAGACUGAACAGCCUAUAUUUCAAUUAUAAAUUUAACACAAAAUCAGAAGAAAUGAUUUCCCAAAAGCGAAGAUUCGACUUAAAGCAAUAUUGUCACCGAAUGAAAAGGAAAACAGGGCAAUUAUUAAUGGAAAUGUGUUAGCUGCAGAUAGUACAGAUGUCAUUUUAAGCUUGAAAGAACGAAGAAAAGGAACAGUUUUAAAAAGCAAAGAUAAUCGCGUGAGUCGUACGUUUGAACGAUGUUUUUCUGGCAAAAAGAUGUCGCUUCAUGUUCAACGUGGCGAUAAAAAUGUUGUUCCAAGAACGAACCUUAGAUUAAAAGGAGGAUCGUGUUUCACAAUCGAGAGGAAAGCCAUGUUCGGAGGAAACGAUCGCAGACAACAACAAUCGUAAGUGAGAUAUGUGUCGUUUCGUACGCCAAUUUAAAUUAUGAAAAAUUGAAGAUCUGAGUACAACAUCGAGAAUGAAACAGCAGCGAAAAAUGAAGGCCCGAAACAAUUACGAAUGGAUAUUUCUGUAAUUUAAAAUACUGUGUCGCAAGAAAUCUAGAUUAGUCCAGCCGAAUGUAAUCUAUGUACAUAAUGCGUUGCGACGUUUGUUUUUGGCCAAUCUGCGCAAGAGGAGUGGUUCUUGCUUUCCACGAUUCUACAAAUAAAAACACGAUCCACAAACUAUUUAAUUCUGUUGUUCCAAUGAACGUAGUAUUUAUGGAAGUUUCGUCUAUAAUAAUAUCAAACAGCUCUAUCGACUGAUACGCAAACAAUUUUUAUCAAUAAAGUCAAUACCUUCGUCGUGUAAACUCCGAGACGAGUCACAGAAGACCUAGAAUCGUUCAUCCUGUGUAAAUCCACAUAUGUGGUGUAUAAUGCAGUCUUUAAUCGAUUCGCGCGAGAAACAUCGUUUUGGAAUGGGAUCGGUUAAUAAACGAGCACAGCUUCAAAGAGAAGAGGAUUGAGAUCGGUUGAAAUUAUAAUUAUUCUACCUUAUAACUAAGGGACAAGGUUAGCCAGAAGAAGGUCGGAAGGAAAGCUUCGACACAUAGCGAAGGUCGCCAAGACAAAAACAGAGAGCGCUGAUUACAAAAACUCUGGUCGACGGUUUGUUGCUACUUUAAACAAUACCUGUGAAGGUCAAGCACUGCUUUUAGUGUACCCGAUGUCAGCUGUACAUCAUGUAACAAUCGAAGAAGCUGUUGGACGUCGUUAUGGUAGAUAUCUAUAUGAAUACAACUUUCACUUCUAUAACAAAGUUAGCUAAAAUUUGGGUCGUACCGAAGGAGCGAGGCAGUUUUCACAAAACAUCAAUUGUGAGCAAAUGUGACUAUUUCAUAACACUUUUUUUCUUACUCGUCGGUUUUUCUUUCUGGAUUAUUGGAUCC